AGUUGCAAUCAUGCAAUGGACUUAUGCUGUUUAACCCACAGCGUACCGGAUAGAACCCGGAUAGGACUACUUAUAUAGGAGAAAACAAAUG
Molecule: non-coding RNA, 91 nt
Submitted as: unclassified sequences
Source: Rfam